UACGUAGGUGGCAAGCGUUGUCCGGAUUUACUGGGCGUAAAGAGCGCGCAGGCGGUCGUUCAAGUCGAGUGUGAAAGCCCCCGGCUCAACUGGGGAGGGUCAUUCGAUACUGAUCGACUCGAAGGCAGGAGAGGGAAGUGGAAUUCCCGGUGUAGUGGUGAAAUGCGUAGAUAUCGGGAGGAACACCAGUGGCGAAGGCGGCCUGCUGGGCUGUUGCUGACGCUGAGGCGCGACAGCGUGGGGAGCAAACAGG
Molecule: ribosomal RNA, 253 nt
Filed under: uncultured bacterium
Lineage: Bacteria
Description: partial 16S ribosomal RNA
Rfam family: Bacterial small subunit ribosomal RNA
Source: RNAcentral